UGGGGAAUUUUGGACAAUGGGCGAAAGCCUGAUCCAGCAAUGCCGCGUGUGUGAAGAAGGCCUUCGGGUUGUAAGCACUUUUGUCCGGAAAGAAAUCCUUGGCUCUAAUACAGUCGGGGGAUGACGGUACCGGAAGAAUAAGCACCGGCUAACUACGUGCCAGCAGCCGCGGUAAUACGUAGGGUGCAAGCGUUAAUCGGAAUUACUGGGCGUAAAGCGUGCGCAGGCGGUUUGCUAAGACCGAUGUGAAAUCCCCGGGCUCAACCUGGGAACUGCAUUGGUGACUGGCAGGCUAGAGUAUGGCAGAGGGGGGUAGAAUUCCACGUGUAGCAGUGAAAUGCGUAGAGAUGUGGAGGAAUACCGAUGGCGAAGGCAGCCCCCUGGGCCAAUACUGACGCUCAUGCACGAAAGCGUGGGGAGCAAACAGGAUUAGAUACCCUGGUAGUCCACGCCCUAAACGAUGUCAACUAGUUGUUGGGGAUUCAUUUCCUUAGUAACGUAGCUAACGCGUGAAGUUGACCGCCUGGGGAGUACGGUCGCAAGAUUAAAACUCAAAUGAAUUGACCGGGGUCAUA
This 575-nucleotide ribosomal RNA is filed under the name uncultured bacterium. RNAcentral's name for it is "partial 16S ribosomal RNA". It matches the Rfam family "Bacterial small subunit ribosomal RNA", at positions 355 to 924 of the family's 1533-position model. The record is from RNAcentral.